AAUUUAAUAAACUAGGGCCAAAUAAAUGUGUUGUGUGAUAGUAAUUUGCUACUUAUUCAGUUUUAAACGCAAAAUAAAAAAAGGGUUAAAUAUUAGGAAAGUUAACUUCCGGUUUCCUGUGUCACGUGACGUCACUUACCUCUCUAACCAAACAGAAUUGAACGUCACAGUUGUUUUUUUUUGGCGACCGCAUUCUCUUUUCUACAACAAUGACUUCUGUCGUGGAAACAAACGUGGAGUUGGAGAUUUACACCAUAACGCCACAAGAGAGCAGCAGACGACCAAUAACCAACUGCACAACUACGGAGAAGUGAUUGUAAUGGAUUUAACAAAUUUCCCGUUGAACAAAAUGGCUAACAUCUGCAAGCAUGGCACAGAGCAACUUGAAAGCAUCAAGUGAUGAAAAAUCCAUUGUUUUCAUCAUCAACGCCAACAUGAGUGUGAGUGGCUUCAAGGGGCAGCUAGUGGUGAGUAUAAGGAAAGGCGAGGGGAAGACAGACAAAUCCUUUUACACGUUCACGUCGCUGUGCAGACAGACAAGUCUAGCUCAGUGGCCUUGUGGUUAGAGUGUCCGCCCUGAGACUGGGAGGUCGUGAGUUCAAAUCCCAGCCGAGGAUUACCAAAGACUAUAAAAAUGGGACCCAUUGCCUCCCUCAGCACUCACUCAGCAUCAAGGGUUGGAAUUGGGGGUUAAAUCACCAAAUGAUUCCUGAGCAUGUCACACGCUGCUGCUCACUGCUCCCCUCACCUCCCAGGGGGUGAACAUGGGGAUUGGUCAAAUGCAGAGGACGAAUUUCACCAAACCUAGUGUGUGCGUGUGUGUGUGUGACUAUCGUUGGAACAUUUGAUGCAAAAGUCACAUGUAAAAAGGCAGCCAAUAGAGGGUGCCUGGCUGACUUGUUAACAAAGUUUUACUUAUAUGUACAUAAGAUAUUAAACAAAGAUAGAUGUGGUUUGUUUGAAACAUCAUUUUUAAUUUUUUUUAUUGUUUUAAUGCACCUAAUUCAACUACAUUUCCAUCAUUGA
Entelurus aequoreus (snake pipefish) is the source of this 1026-nucleotide long non-coding RNA. RefSeq lists it as uncharacterized. The record is from RefSeq and is a predicted model, not a curated record. The transcript is spliced from 4 exons. NCBI's taxonomy places the organism in Eukaryota, Metazoa, Chordata, Actinopteri, Syngnathiformes, Syngnathidae.